This 26-nucleotide small RNA is filed under the name Bombyx mori (domestic silkworm). RNAcentral describes it as "ovarian small RNA-14936". Lineage: Eukaryota; Metazoa; Arthropoda; Insecta; Lepidoptera; Bombycidae. The record is from RNAcentral.
CUGGAUAUCCCGAUUCGGUUGCCCGA